Molecule: ribosomal RNA, 941 nt
Filed under: uncultured eukaryote
Lineage: Eukaryota
Description: bacterial SSU rRNA
Rfam family: Eukaryotic small subunit ribosomal RNA
Source: RNAcentral
GGUUGGCAGCAGGCGCGCAAAUUGCCCAAUAGCAACACAUCGCUGAGGCAGCGAAGAGAAAUAGCAACUUCAUGCGGUUUUCCCGUGUGAAGAUUGCCAUGGACGAUAUCUAAACCUGUCGCUGAGUAUCAAUUGGUGGACAAGUCUGGUGCCAGCACCCGCGGUAAUUCCAGCACCAAUAGCGUAUAUUAAUACUGCUGCUGUUAAAAAGCUCGUAGUUGGAUCAAGAGUUGGACAGUGCAAGGUGGCCUCGUUGACUGCGUGGUUCCGAUCACAAGGAAAGCGGCGGAUCAACCCCUUGCAUCAAACUGUCCACUCUAACAGGCCGAAGCGGUGCCCUGUGAGUAAGCUCCUUCAUUGGGGCUGAAAGCGCCUUCGCAUCUACCAUAUGCAUACGGGCCGUCGGCCAAUGUUACUGUGAACAAACCAGCGUGUUCAAAGCAGGCUUUCGCCUGAACGUUCGAGCAUGGAAUAACAAGGGAUCGAUUCUCUCGGUUCUUUUUGUUGGUUUUUAACCCGAGAAGGAGUAAUUCAGGUCACGGUGCCUGAGCCAGGUACCCCUUCGCCCAGGCGGAGGCCCUGGUUAGGCCGUGGCCUUACGGGACUAAUAGGGACGGACGGGGUCGUACGUACUUCCACGUCAGAGGUGAAAUUCUUAGAUCGUGGGAAGACGAACUUCUGCGAAAGCAUUCGACAAGAACGCCUUCAUUAAUCAAGAACGAGAGUGUGGGGAUCGAAGAUGAUCAGAUACCGUCGUAGUCCACUACUGUAAACAAUGCCGUCUCAGGAUCGAGAGAUGAACCGAAUGACUCUCACGGCACUAACCCCUGAAACGAGAAAUCAAAGAUUAUGGGUUCAGGGGGGAGUACAUUCGCAAGGCUGAAACUUAAAGGAAUUGACGGAAUGACACCACCAGGCGUGGAGUAUGCGGCUUAAUUUGA